This 381-nucleotide long non-coding RNA is filed under the name Elaeis guineensis (African oil palm). Its description in RNAcentral is "long non-coding RNA (EGUI_LNC005725)". The record is from RNAcentral. Lineage: Eukaryota; Viridiplantae; Streptophyta; Magnoliopsida; Arecales; Arecaceae.
UUUUCCUGAGACAUUAUUCUUUAUUCUAUUUCUGAUUUUGGACAUUUGUUGUCUGCUUCCAGAUAUAAAACUUCUAGUUCUAUCUUCAGUGAAGCAUUUCCUGCUUCCUUUUCUCACGUUUUUCUCUAUUCUCUAGUCUAUUGUCUUGAUUUCUUCCCUCUACUUUGACUCCAAAAAAAUCUCUAGCCUGAUAGUACUGGAGAAUAGAAACAGCAAAAAGAAAAAGAAAAACAUAUCACCACUGGCAAACCUAUAGAUAAAAUUUACUUGGGCAAAGGUGGCAAACCUCCAAAACAACAGUCCAAAAUCCAGAAGAAACUAGUCGGUAAAAGUAUUAAAAACCAGAUGUUUGAAUCUGAUCCUCAAUACUAGACAGCAGCA